GGUUAAGUGACUAAGCGUACACGGUGGAUGCCUUGGCAGUCAGAGGCGAUGAAAGACGUAGUAACUUGCGAUAAGCCCAGAUUAGGUAGUAACAACCAUUUGAGUCUGGGAUUUCUGAAUGGGGAAACCCACGUGCAUAAGCACGUAUCCUUACCUGAAUACAUAGGGUAAGGAGGCGAACCGGGGGAACUGAAACAUCUAAGUACCCCGAGGAAAAGAAAUCAACCGAGAUUCCGAAAGUAGCGGCGAGCGAAAUUGGACUAGCCCUUAAGCUUUACACGCGUUAGACGAACGGUCUGGAAAGUCCGACGAUACAGGGUGAUAGUCCCGUAGUUGACGACGUGUGUUCAGUGAAAUCGAGUAGGGCGGGACACGUGAUAUCCUGUCUGAAUAUGGGGGGACCAUCCUCCAAGGCUAAAUACUACUGACUGACCGAUAGUGAACCAGUACCGUGAGGGAAAGGCGAAAAGAACCCCUGUGAGGGGAGUGAAAUAGAACCUGAAACCGUGUACGUACAAGCAGUAGGAGCAGGCUUUGUCCUGUGACUGCGUACCUUUUGUAUAAUGGGUCAGCGACUUAUAUUCAGUGGCAAGGUUAACCAUCUAGGGGAGCCGUAGGGAAACCGAGUCUUAACUGGGCGUUCAGUCUCUGGAUAUAGACCCGAAACCAGGUGAUCUAGCCAUGGGCAGGUUGAAGGUUGAGUAACAUCAACUGGAGGACCGAACCGACUAAUGUUGAAAAAUUAGCGGAUGACUUGUGGCUAGGGGUGAAAGGCCAAUCAAACCUGGAGAUAGCUGGUUCUCCCCGAAAGCUAUUUAGGUAGCGCCUCGGACGAAUACUACUGGGGGUAGAGCACUGUUAAGGCUAGGGGGUCAUCCCGACUUACCAACCCUUUGCAAACUCCGAAUACCAGUAAGUACUAUCCGGGAGACACACGGCGGGUGCUAACGUCCGUCGUGGAGAGGGAAACAACCCAGACCGCCAGCUAAGGUCCCAAAUUACUACUAAGUGGGAAACGAUGUGGGAAGGCUCAGACAGCCAGGAUGUUGGCUUAGAAGCAGCCAUCAUUUAAAGAAAGCGUAAUAGCUCACUGGUCGAGUCGGCCUGCGCGGAAGAUGUAACGGGGCUAAGUAGUAAACCGAAGCUGCGGCAAUAUACUUUUGUAUAUUGGGUAGGGGAGCGUUCUGUAAGCGGUUGAAGGUGUGUGGUAACGCAUGCUGGACGUAUCAGAAGUGCGAAUGCUGACAUGAGUAACGAUAAAGGGGGUGAAAAACCUCCUCGCCGGAAGACCAAGGGUUCCUGUCCAACGUUAAUCGGGGCAGGGUAAGUCGACCCCUAAGGCGAGGCCGAAAGGCGUAGUCGAUGGGAAACGGGUUAAUAUUCCCGUACUUCUUACAAUUGCGAUGGGGGGACGGAGAAGGCUAGGUGGGCCUGGCGACGGUUGUCCAGGUUCAAGUGCGUAGGCUUAAGAGUUAGGUAAAUCCGGCUCUUUCUAAGGCUGAGACACGACGUCGAGCACCUACGGGUGUGAAGUCAUUGAUGCCAUGCUUCCAGGAAAAGCCUCUAAGCUUCAGAUUGUAAGGAAUCGUACCCCAAACCGACACAGGUGGUCGGGUAGAGAAUACCAAGGCGCUUGAGAGAACUCGGGUGAAGGAACUAGGCAAAAUGGUACCGUAACUUCGGGAGAAGGUAC
Molecule: ribosomal RNA, 1693 nt
Filed under: Vibrio parahaemolyticus
Lineage: Bacteria; Pseudomonadati; Pseudomonadota; Gammaproteobacteria; Vibrionales; Vibrionaceae
Description: partial 23S ribosomal RNA
Rfam family: Bacterial large subunit ribosomal RNA
Source: RNAcentral